UAGGGAAUCUUCGGCAAUGGGGGGAACCCUGACCGAGCAACGCCGCGUGAGUGAAGAAGGUUUUCGGAUCGUAAAGCUCUGUUGUUAAGGAAGAACGAGUGUGAGAAUGGAAAGUUCAUGCUGUGACGGUACUUAACCAGAAAGGGACGGCUAACUACGUGCCAGCAGCCGCGGUAAUACGUAGGUCCCGAGCGUUGUCCGGAUUUAUUGGGCGUAAAGCGAGCGCAGGCGGUUAGAAAAGUCUGAAGUGAAAGGCAGUGGCUCAACCAUUGUAGGCUUUGGAAACUGUUUAACUUGAGUGCAGAAGGGGAGAGUGGAAUUCCAUGUGUAGCGGUGAAAUGCGUAGAUAUAUGGAGGAACACCGGUAGCGAAAGCGGCUCUCUGGUCUGUAACUGACGCUGAGGCUCGAAAGCGUGGGGAGCGAACAGG
RNAcentral lists this ribosomal RNA (429 nucleotides) under Bacteroidota bacterium. RNAcentral's name for it is "Bacteroidetes bacterium partial 16S ribosomal RNA". It matches the Rfam family "Bacterial small subunit ribosomal RNA", at positions 355 to 776 of the family's 1533-position model. RNAcentral also lists the same sequence under 1 other name. Lineage: Bacteria; Pseudomonadati; Bacteroidota. The record is from RNAcentral.